GACGAACGCUGGCGGCGUGCCUAAUACAUGCAAGUAGAACGCUGAAGGAGGAGCUUGCUUCUCUGGAUGAGUUGCGAACGGGUGAGUAACGCGUAGGUAACCUGCCUGGUAGCGGGGGAUAACUAUUGGAAACGAUAGCUAAUACCGCAUAAGAGUAGAUGUCGCAUGACAUUUGCUUAAAAGGUGCACUUGCAUCACUACCAGAUGGACCUGCGUUGUAUUAGCUAGUUGGUGAGGUAACGGCUCACCAAGGCAACGAUACAUAGCCGACCUGAGAGGGUGAUCGGCCACACUGGGACUGAGACACGGCCCAGACUCCUACGGGAGGCAGCAGUAGGGAAUCUUCGGCAAUAGACGGAAGUCUGACCGAGCAACGCCGCGUGAGUGAAGAAGGUUUUCGGAUCGUAAAGCUCUGUUGUAAGAGAAGAACGAGUGUGAGAGUGGAAAGUUCACACUGUGACGGUAUCUUACCAGAAAGGGACGGCUAACUACGUG
Molecule: ribosomal RNA, 495 nt
Filed under: uncultured bacterium
Lineage: Bacteria
Description: partial 16S ribosomal RNA
Rfam family: Bacterial small subunit ribosomal RNA
Source: RNAcentral